UUUGCUUUUUGCAAGGCUGAAAUAGCACUUGACUUUUUAAAUGGGGUUUUCAUUUAAUUUGUUGCUCCUGUCCUAUUGCUCUCUCCAUCUUCUGGUGUCUCCAGGCUUUGACUAAUGAAACCACUAGCCAGACUUACAGGUGAAUUGAUAAAGAAAAUGUAGUAUAAUAAUACAACAGAAUAUUAUUCAGCCUUAAAAAAGAAGAAAAUACUGCAAUAUGUGAAAACAUGGAUGAAUCUGGAGGACAAUGCUUCAGGCGGAACGCACGCCGAGUCAGCCCGCUGCGGACGGGCAGGUCUGUGCACGCCCUGCCGAGGUCCUGAGUCACGCGGAAGACACCGAAUCACCCCACUGCAGACAGGCAGCCACCUGAUUCCACAUUACCAAGGCGCAGAGGACACCAGACCACCAGACCAAGGUACGGAGUCCCACUGUUCCCGGCCCAGAGGUAGGGGCUUCUGAGCUGUCGUCCUACUGCUCCUGGUCCAGAGGAGGGGGCUUCCCGGUCACCAUCC
This is a long non-coding RNA of Heterocephalus glaber (naked mole-rat), 515 nucleotides long. Lineage: Eukaryota; Metazoa; Chordata; Mammalia; Rodentia; Bathyergidae. The record is from Ensembl.